CAAGUCAAACAUUCAAUGCCGCCAC
Molecule: non-coding RNA, 25 nt
Filed under: Arabidopsis thaliana (thale cress)
Lineage: Eukaryota; Viridiplantae; Streptophyta; Magnoliopsida; Brassicales; Brassicaceae
Source: RNAcentral